RNAcentral lists this ribosomal RNA (185 nucleotides) under Glossina brevipalpis. Its description in RNAcentral is "partial 12S ribosomal RNA". The record is from RNAcentral. Lineage: Eukaryota; Metazoa; Arthropoda; Insecta; Diptera; Glossinidae.
UUUGUAUUCAGUUUAUAUACCGUUGUUAUUAAAUAUUUUAUUAGAAAAUUAAUAUUUAAGAGAUUUUAUAAAAUAGUAUAUCAGAUCAAGGUGUAGUUUAUAUUUAAGAAGUAAUGGGUUACAAUAAAAAAAUUUUUGGAAAUAUAAUUGUAAUAAUAAAUUGAAAAUGGAUUUGAUUGUAAAAU